AGUUUUGAGAGGUCUUGUGGGGCCUUAGCUCAGCUGGGAGAGCGCCUGCUUUGCACGCAGGAGGUCAGCGGUUCGAUCCCGCUAGGCUCCA
Molecule: transfer RNA, 91 nt
Filed under: Streptococcus salivarius
Lineage: Bacteria; Bacillati; Bacillota; Bacilli; Lactobacillales; Streptococcaceae
Also listed under: 3 other names
Description: tRNA-Alanine
Rfam family: tRNA (bases 19-91)
About the family: Transfer RNA (tRNA) molecules are approximately 80 nucleotides in length.
Source: RNAcentral